GUGGGGAAUAUUGGACAAUGGGCGAAAGCCUGAUCCAGCAAUGCCGCGUGUGUGAAGAAGGCCUGAGGGUUGUAAAGCACUUUCAGAAAUGAGAAAGUUAUUACGGUUAAUACCCGUAAUGAUUGAUGUUAGUUUAAGAAGAAGCACCGGCUAACUCUGUGCCAGCAGCCGCGGUAAUACAGAGGGUGCAAGCGUUAAUCGGAAUUAUUGGGCGUAAAGGGUGCGUAGGUGGUUCAAGUAAGUCAAGUGUGAAAUCCCCGAGCUUAACUUGGGAAAGUCGCUUGAUACUACUUAGCUAGAGUACUAUAGAGGGUAGUGGAAUUUCCAGUGUAGCGGUGAAAUGCGUAGAUAUUGGAAGGAACAUCAGUGGCGAAGGCGACUACCUGGAUAGAUACUGACACUGAGGCACGAAAGCGUGGGGAGCAAACAGG
Molecule: ribosomal RNA, 431 nt
Filed under: uncultured bacterium
Lineage: Bacteria
Description: bacterial SSU rRNA
Rfam family: Bacterial small subunit ribosomal RNA
Source: RNAcentral